RNAcentral lists this ribosomal RNA (497 nucleotides) under uncultured bacterium. RNAcentral describes it as "partial 16S ribosomal RNA". It matches the Rfam family "Bacterial small subunit ribosomal RNA", at positions 28 to 507 of the family's 1533-position model. The record is from RNAcentral.
GAUGAACGCUGGCGGCGUGCCUAAUACAUGCAAGUCGAGCGAACAGAUGAGGAGCUUUCGCUUCUGCCGUUAGCGGCGGGCGGGUGAGUAACACGUGGAUAAGCUACCUAUAAGACGGGGAGAACUACGGGAAACCGGAGAUACUAAUAGAGAAUAUGUCGUACCGCUGGGUGCAAUGGUGAUUGAGGGUUUUGCUGUCUCUAUUAGAUGAAUCCGUGCUGCAUUGGCGAGUUGGUAAUGGAACGGCCUACCAAGGCAACGAUGCGUAGCCGACCUGAGAGGGUGAUCGGCCACACUGGAACUGAGACACGGUCCAGACUCCUACGGGAGGCAGCAGUAGGGAAUCUUCGGCAAUGGGCGAAAGCCUGACGGAGCCACACCGCGUGAGUGAUGAAGGUCUUCGGGUCGUAAAACUCUGUUAUUAGGGAAGAACAAAUGUGUGUGUAACUCCGGCCGUCUUGACGGUACCUAAACAGAAAGCACCGGCUAACUUCGUG